GCACCCGUAGCUCAAUGGAUAGAGCGUCUGACUUCGAAUCAAAAGGUUGCGCGUUCGAGUCGCGCCGGGUGCGCCA
RNAcentral lists this transfer RNA (76 nucleotides) under Chloroflexota bacterium. RNAcentral's name for it is "Chloroflexi bacterium (groundwater metagenome) tRNA-Arg". It matches the Rfam family "tRNA". From Rfam's summary of the family: Transfer RNA (tRNA) molecules are approximately 80 nucleotides in length. Their secondary structure includes four short double-helical elements and three loops (D, anti-codon, and T loops). Lineage: Bacteria; Bacillati; Chloroflexota. The record is from RNAcentral.